Molecule: ribosomal RNA, 439 nt
Filed under: uncultured bacterium
Lineage: Bacteria
Description: bacterial SSU rRNA
Rfam family: Bacterial small subunit ribosomal RNA
Source: RNAcentral
UACGGAAGGCAGCAGGGGGAAUAUUGCACAAUGGGCGCAAGCCUGAUGCAGCCAUGCCGCGUGUAUGAAGAAGGCCUUCGGGUUGUAAAGUACUUUCAGUCGUGAGGAAGGUGUUAAGGUUAAUAACCUUAGCAAUUGACGUUAGCGACAGAAGAAGCACCGGCUAACUCCGUGCCAGCAGCCGCGGUAAUACGGAGGGUGCGAGCGUUAAUCGGAAUUACUGGGCGUAAAGGGCACGCAGGCGGUUAAUUAAGUUGGAUGUGAAAUCCCCGGGCUUAACCUGGGAAUGGCAUUCAAGACUGGUUAGCUAGAGUCUUGUAGAGGGGGUAGAAUUCCAUGUGUAGCGGUGAAAUGCGUAGAGGAUGUGGAGGAAUACCGGUGGCGAAGGCGGCCCCUGGACAAAGACUGACGCUCAUGUGCGAAAGCGUGGGGAGCAAAC